RNAcentral lists this ribosomal RNA (423 nucleotides) under Brucella anthropi. RNAcentral's name for it is "bacterial SSU rRNA". It matches the Rfam family "Bacterial small subunit ribosomal RNA", at positions 30 to 503 of the family's 1533-position model. The record is from RNAcentral. Lineage: Bacteria; Pseudomonadati; Pseudomonadota; Alphaproteobacteria; Hyphomicrobiales; Brucellaceae.
CGAACGCUGGCGGCAGGCUUAACACAUGCAAGUCGAGCGCCCCGCAAGGGGAGCGGCAGACGGGUGAGUAACGCGUGGGAACGUACCUUUUGCUACGGAAUAACUCAGGGAAACUUGUGCUAAUACCGUAUGUGCCCUUCGGGGGAAAGAUUUAUCGGCAAAGGAUCGGCCCGCGUUGGAUUAGCUAGUUGGUGAGGUAAAGGCUCACCAAGGCGACGAUCCAUAGCUGGUCUGAGAGGAUGAUCAGCCACACUGGGACUGAGACACGGCCCAGACUCCUACGGGAGGCAGCAGUGGGGAAUAUUGGACAAUGGGCGCAAGCCUGAUCCAGCCAUGCCGCGUGAGUGAUGAAGGCCCUAGGGUUGUAAAGCUCUUUCACCGGUGAAGAUAAUGACGGUAACCGAGAAGAAGCCCGGCUAAUUC